This 486-nucleotide ribosomal RNA is filed under the name Triticum aestivum (bread wheat). RNAcentral's name for it is "partial small subunit ribosomal RNA". The record is from RNAcentral. Lineage: Eukaryota; Viridiplantae; Streptophyta; Magnoliopsida; Poales; Poaceae.
AUGGUGGGGGACAAAAGGCAGUUCUUCAUGUACAUUCUUCUUCGUGAAGCACAUGAUGGUCUCUCGAGCUUGUCGAAAAGGUUAAGUACUGAACCGGAGUUCAUCGAGAACCAUAUCCCAAUAGAGAUGGUUGAAGUCGGACAGUUCAUGCUCCCAAAGUUCAAGAUACCUUUUGGAUUUGAAGCAUCCAAUUUGCUCAAGGGUUUGGGUCUUCAGUUGCCAUUCAGUAUGGAGGCUAGUCUUUCAGAGAUGGUGAAUUCUCUCGUGGGCCUAUUCAUCGCAUCUGCUUUCCACAAAACGUUUGUCGAAGUUGACGAAGAAGGAACUAAGGCAGCAGCAGCAACUAGUGUUGUGAUAGUACAUCAGUCACAACCCUCAAGGAUGGAUUUCGUCGCUAAUCACCCUUUCCUCUUCCUUAUUCGAGAAGACAUCACCGGUGUAGUGCUCUUCAUUGGUCAUGUUGCUAAUCCCCUCGUGUCUUAUUAG